This 305-nucleotide small nuclear RNA is filed under the name Jaculus jaculus (lesser Egyptian jerboa). RNAcentral describes it as "7SK RNA (ENSJJAG00000006426.1)". It matches the Rfam family "7SK RNA". Rfam says of the family: 7SK was discovered as an abundant small nuclear RNA in the mid-70s but a possible function has only recently been suggested. Two independent studies have found that 7SK RNA binds the CDK9/cyclin T complex (known as elongation factor P-TEFb). P-TEFb activates transcription by phosphorylating the C-terminal domain of RNA polymerase II. Lineage: Eukaryota; Metazoa; Chordata; Mammalia; Rodentia; Dipodidae. The record is from Rfam by way of RNAcentral.
GGAAACGAGGGCAAUCUGGCUGUGUUUUCUGCCGUGCCAGUGAUCACCAGGGUGGACUUGGCUGAUCUGGUCAGCUAGCAGGAGUCUGCUUCCUCCCUCAGUACCCCAUGUGUGCCCUGCCCGAGCCAAGGGCUCAGUGUAAGAGGAACAGAGGAAGACCACUCAUAGGGCAAGGUUACAGGGCCAGCUACAUCCCCCUGACAGAACCUCCAAACAAACGUGCUGCCAAGGAAGAGGUACGAAUGCUGGUCCUCUGCCAACCGUCCUUUGAUUCAGUUUGGGAUCCUAGUCCAUGGGCUUUCAUC